CGCUUGACACAUGGCAAGUGGUCACAAAGGAUAUUAGCUAUUAAUAUUGGUAUUACAUUUUGUUCUUUCUCUUCUCCCACUGCUUCAAUCGACUAGCCUAAA
Unclassified non-coding RNA from Cebus imitator (Panamanian white-faced capuchin), 102 nucleotides. It matches the Rfam family "Y RNA". Rfam says of the family: Y RNAs are components of the Ro ribonucleoprotein particle (Ro RNP), in association with Ro60 and La proteins. The Y RNAs and Ro60 and La proteins are well conserved, but the function of the Ro RNP is not known. Lineage: Eukaryota; Metazoa; Chordata; Mammalia; Primates; Cebidae. The record is from Ensembl.